This is a transfer RNA of Myxococcus xanthus DK 1622, 74 nucleotides long. It matches the Rfam family "tRNA". Rfam says of the family: Transfer RNA (tRNA) molecules are approximately 80 nucleotides in length. Their secondary structure includes four short double-helical elements and three loops (D, anti-codon, and T loops). Further hydrogen bonds mediate the characteristic L-shaped molecular structure. tRNAs have two regions of fundamental functional importance: the anti-codon, which is responsible for specific mRNA codon recognition, and the 3' end, to which the tRNAs corresponding amino acid is attached (by aminoacyl-tRNA synthetases). tRNAs cope with the degeneracy of the genetic code in two manners: having more than one tRNA (with a specific anti-codon) for a particular amino acid; and 'wobble' base-pairing, i.e. permitting non-standard base-pairing at the 3rd anti-codon position. Lineage: Bacteria; Pseudomonadati; Myxococcota; Myxococcia; Myxococcales; Myxococcaceae. The record is from Rfam.
GACCCCGUAGCUCAGUUGGAUAGAGCGGCGGUUUCCUAAACCGCAGGCCACAGGUUCGAUUCCUGUCGGGGUCA